GUGCUCACUUCGGCAGCACAUAUACUAAAAUUGGAACGAUACAGAGAAGAUUAGCAUGGCCCCAGAGAGAAAAUAAGAAAAAAAAAAGAAAAAAAAAAUUAGUGGCU
Small nuclear RNA from Microtus oregoni (creeping vole), 107 nucleotides. The record is from RefSeq and is a predicted model, not a curated record. NCBI's taxonomy places the organism in Eukaryota, Metazoa, Chordata, Mammalia, Rodentia, Cricetidae.